This 468-nucleotide ribosomal RNA is filed under the name uncultured bacterium. Its description in RNAcentral is "partial 16S ribosomal RNA". It matches the Rfam family "Bacterial small subunit ribosomal RNA", at positions 28 to 507 of the family's 1533-position model. The record is from RNAcentral.
GACGAACGCUGGCGGCGUGCUUAACACAUGCAAGUCGAACGGAAAGGCCCUGCUUUUGUGGGGUGCUCGAGUGGCGAACGGGUGAGUAACACGUGAGUAACCUGCCCUUGACUUUGGGAUAACUUCAGGAAACUGGGGCUAAUACCGGAUAGGAGCUCCUGCUGCAUGGUGGGGGUUGGAAAGUUUCGGCGGUUGGGGAUGGACUCGCGGCGUAUCAGCUUGUUGGUGGGGUAGUGGCUUACCAAGGCUUUGACGGGUAGCCGGCCUGGGAGGGUGACCGGCCCCAUUGGGACUGGGAUACCGCCCAGACUCCUACGGGAGGCAGCAGUGGGGAAUAUUGCACAAUGGGCGGAAGCCUGAUGCAGCAACGCCGCGUGCGGGAUGACGGCCUUCGGGUUGUAACCCGCUUUCGCCUGUGACGAAGCGUGAGUGACGGUAAUGGGUAAAGAAGCACCGGCUAACUACGUG